CCACAUCCUGCAGAGGAUGAGGCUUGAAAGAGCCUUGGUUGACUAGCCCCAGGUCUUCGUGACCUACGUUACGGAGGAAGAUACAGACACCUGAGGAUGUUGUCCUAGUCCGCUGCUCUGC
This 121-nucleotide small RNA is filed under the name chicken gut metagenome. RNAcentral describes it as "HNH endonuclease-associated RNA and ORF (HEARO) RNA". It matches the Rfam family "HNH endonuclease-associated RNA and ORF (HEARO) RNA", at positions 9 to 128 of the family's 211-position model. The record is from RNAcentral.